CGCAGCCGCGGUAAUUCCAGCUCCAAUAGCGUAUAUUAAAGUUGCUGCAGUUAAAAAGCUCGUAGUUGAAUUUCGGGAUCAUCAUGUCGGUCGUGCCUCGGUACGUACUGGCAUUGUUGGUUUCUACCUUCUGACGAACCAUGAUGUCAUUUAUUUGGUGUCGUGGGAAAUCAGGACUGUUACUUUGAAAAAUUAGAGUGUUUAAAGCAGGCUCACGCUUGAAUACAUUAGCAUGGAAUAAUGAAAUAGGACGUUUGGUUCUAUUUUGUUGGUUUCUAGGAUCGACGUAAUGAUUAAUAGGGAUAGUUGGGGGCAUUAGUAUUCAAUUGUCAGAGGUGAAAUUCUUGGAUUUAUUGAAGACUAACUACUGCGAAAGCAUUUGCCAAGGAUGUUUUCAUUAAUCAAGAACGAAAGUUAGGGGAUCGAAGACGAUCAGAUACCGUCGUAGUCUUAACCAUAAACUAUGCCGACUAGGGAUCGGAUGAUGUUAAUUUUUAAUGUACUCAUUCGGACCG
This 515-nucleotide unclassified non-coding RNA is filed under the name uncultured Glomus. Its description in RNAcentral is "SSU rRNA". It matches the Rfam family "Eukaryotic small subunit ribosomal RNA", at positions 569 to 1087 of the family's 1831-position model. The record is from RNAcentral. Lineage: Eukaryota; Fungi; Glomeromycota; Glomeromycetes; Glomerales; Glomeraceae.